GAUGAACGCUGGCGGCGUGCUUAACACAUGCAAGUCGAACGGUGAAGCCCAGCUUGCUGGGUGGAUCAGUGGCGAACGGGUGAGUAACACGUGAGCAACCUGCCCCUGACUCUGGGAUAAGCGCUGGAAACGGCGUCUAAUACUGGAUACGAGUAGCGACCGCAUGGUCAGCUACUGGAAAGAUUUAUUGGUUGGGGAUGGGCUCGCGGCCUAUCAGCUUGUUGGUGAGGUAAUGGCUCACCAAGGCGUCGACGGGUAGCCGGCCUGAGAGGGUGACCGGCCACACUGGGACUGAGACACGGCCCAGACUCCUACGGGAGGCAGCAGUGGGGAAUAUUGCACAAUGGGCGCAAGCCUGAUGCAGCAACGCCGCGUGAGGGAUGACGGCCUUCGGGUUGUAAACCUCUUUUAGCAGGGAAGAAGCGAAAGUGACGGUACCUGCAGAAAAAGCGCCGGCUAACUACGUGCCAGCAGCCGCGGUAAU
This 484-nucleotide ribosomal RNA is filed under the name uncultured bacterium. RNAcentral's name for it is "bacterial SSU rRNA". It matches the Rfam family "Bacterial small subunit ribosomal RNA", at positions 28 to 524 of the family's 1533-position model. The record is from RNAcentral.